AGUACCUAAGAAAAAAAGACCUCCUGAUAUGCCUCUAAACUUGGGACGACUGCAAAUCAACAUGAAUACCUGUUGGUAAGCCACAGUUUGGAUUUGGACUCCCCUGUGUGCAGUCUAUGCAAUGUUAGAACAGAAGGUCUGACCAUGGACUCAAGAGCUGACGUUAGGAAUGUCAGCACCAUCCUGCUCUCCAAGGACUCCUCAUCUUCAACAGACUCCUCAUCUUCAAAGGAAAGGGUGGAAACUGCAACUUGUGCCAUGAUCCCUGCGUGAGAAAAGUAGUAAGAAAUCCUACCCGACCAUAGAAUGUUAGAACAGAAGGUCUCACCGUGGACUCAAGAGCUGACAUGAAGAAUGUCACCACCAUCCUGCUCUCCAAGGACUCCUCAUCUUCAAUGGACUCCUCAUCUUCAACGGACUCCUCAUCUACAACGGGCAGGGUGGAAACUGCAACUUGUGCCAUGAUCCCUGCGCAAGAAAAGUAGUAAGAAAUUGAGUGGUAGAAAUCCAGUGUCCUAAACUCACAUCCAGAGCUGUGAGAGUUUUUCACAGGCUGGCUAAUUCAGAGUUUUCUUGCAUCAGAGGAAAAGUAAGACUCGGAAACUUGGUAUUCGAUUUGCCCAAAACUCUCAUUAGAUAGAGAAUCCAUCCGCUAACUUUCUAUCUAGUAUUAUUUCCAUAAAGUUAGAUCAAUAUCACUCCCAAAAUAAAUCCACGUGGCAA
Homo sapiens (human) is the source of this 723-nucleotide long non-coding RNA. The record is from Ensembl. Lineage: Eukaryota; Metazoa; Chordata; Mammalia; Primates; Hominidae.